RNAcentral lists this ribosomal RNA (261 nucleotides) under uncultured bacterium. RNAcentral describes it as "partial 16S ribosomal RNA". It matches the Rfam family "Bacterial small subunit ribosomal RNA", at positions 29 to 310 of the family's 1533-position model. The record is from RNAcentral.
AGCGAACGCUGGCGGCAGGCCUAACACAUGCAAGUCGAACGGGCACCUUCGGGUGUCAGUGGCAGACGGGUGAGUAACACGUGGGAACGUGCCUUUUGGUUCGGAACAACCCAGGGAAACGUUGGGCGUAAUACCGGAUAAGCCCUUACCGGGGAAAGGAUUUAUCGCCAAAAGAAUCGGCCCGCGUCUGAUUAGCUAGUUGGUGAGGUAAUGGCUCACCAAGGCUACGAUCAGUAGCUGGUCUGAGAGGAUGAUCAGCCA